This 84-nucleotide transfer RNA is filed under the name Danio rerio (zebrafish). It matches the Rfam family "tRNA". Rfam says of the family: Transfer RNA (tRNA) molecules are approximately 80 nucleotides in length. Their secondary structure includes four short double-helical elements and three loops (D, anti-codon, and T loops). Further hydrogen bonds mediate the characteristic L-shaped molecular structure. tRNAs have two regions of fundamental functional importance: the anti-codon, which is responsible for specific mRNA codon recognition, and the 3' end, to which the tRNAs corresponding amino acid is attached (by aminoacyl-tRNA synthetases). tRNAs cope with the degeneracy of the genetic code in two manners: having more than one tRNA (with a specific anti-codon) for a particular amino acid; and 'wobble' base-pairing, i.e. permitting non-standard base-pairing at the 3rd anti-codon position. The record is from Rfam by way of RNAcentral. Lineage: Eukaryota; Metazoa; Chordata; Actinopteri; Cypriniformes; Danionidae.
GGCGCUGUGGUUUAGUUGGUCAAAGCGCCUGUCGAGUAAACAGUAGCCAUUCAAAGGUUGUGGGUUCGAGUCCCAUUAGGGUCG